ACUGCUUCGUGCACAAGCGGUAGCUCUAAUUACCUCAACAUUAGCGAUUUUCGUCAAAUAUAUCGACUAAUCCAAAAAGAUGAACAUCCUCCCGAGAAAACGCGUUUCUUAUUUACAGCAACUCUAAACAGUGAAGAUCCACGAAACAAAUUCAGAACAGAGAAACGAAGAAACUCACCGAGAAGGAAUAGACUUUCUAAGCUUGGUCUGUCCAGCGCAAAAAACCAAAGCAAAGCUUGUUCUUUAUACAUGGACACUAGCAGGACAAAUGUCAUGAAAGCAGCUGUUGAUUGUGUCUCAUCAGCUCCUGUGAUUCUGGAUCCAAACACUGCAGAUCCAGGUCUGAUGAUCUGAGCAGAAACAGACACUUCCUGGUAAUCCAGAGAGGGUUUUGAGUCAGGAAGGUUAAAAAGACCAACCUCCUUCACUCACACACUCUUUCCUUUCUUCUGGUGAUAUAUGGUUUCCCUUUUGAGGAUCUUAUCAUUAAAGUCAGUAGCUGCAGUUAAUAUCAAGUCACUUAAUUUCAUACACGAUAUGCCCAGAUAUUUUCAGGGUUGUUACAGUCAUGGAAAACCUGGAUAUUGUGAUAUCCAGGCCUGAAGAAACCUAGGAAAUAAAUAAAAACUUAAAAGAAAAAAAAGUGAAAAA
Cyprinus carpio (common carp) is the source of this 651-nucleotide long non-coding RNA. NCBI's taxonomy places the organism in Eukaryota, Metazoa, Chordata, Actinopteri, Cypriniformes, Cyprinidae. The record is from Ensembl.